AUGACCAGCACGCAACGGAGCGAGAGUGCGAAUCAUCUCCUCAAAAAGUUCAUCAGCAGAUCAUCCCCAAUGCACUUGUUUGUUAAGCAGUACAACAAAUUGCUUGAUUCCAGGAGCCAGGCAGAAGACGAGGCAAAUUAUGUCAGCAAGCAGGUAUAA
RNAcentral lists this ribosomal RNA (159 nucleotides) under Triticum aestivum (bread wheat). RNAcentral's name for it is "partial small subunit ribosomal RNA". Lineage: Eukaryota; Viridiplantae; Streptophyta; Magnoliopsida; Poales; Poaceae. The record is from RNAcentral.